UACAGCCAUGUCACGUUGAAACACCGGUUUCUGUUCAGAAGUUAAGCAACGUUGAGCUUGGUCAGUACCUAAAUGGGUGACCGCUUGGGAAUACCAGGAA
RNAcentral lists this ribosomal RNA (100 nucleotides) under Acanthosepion pharaonis. Lineage: Eukaryota; Metazoa; Mollusca; Cephalopoda; Sepiida; Sepiidae. The record is from RNAcentral.